This 484-nucleotide ribosomal RNA is filed under the name uncultured bacterium. Its description in RNAcentral is "partial 16S ribosomal RNA". It matches the Rfam family "Bacterial small subunit ribosomal RNA", at positions 30 to 507 of the family's 1533-position model. The record is from RNAcentral.
AUUGAACGCUGGCGGCAUGCCUUACACAUGCAAGUCGAACGGCAGCGCGGACUUCGGUCUGGCGGCGAGUGGCGAACGGGUGAGUAAUACAUCGGAACGUACCCUGUUGUGGGGGAUAACUAGUCGAAAGAUUAGCUAAUACCGCAUACGACCUGAGGGUGAAAGUGGGGGAUCGCAAGGCCUCACGCAGCAGGAGCGGCCGAUGUCUGAUUAGCUAGUUGGUGGGGUAAAGGCCCACCAAGGCGACGAUCAGUAGCUGGUCUGAGAGGACGGUCAGCCACACUGGGACUGAGACACGGCCCAGACUCCUACGGGAGGCAGCAGUGGGGAAUUUUGGACAAUGGGGGCAACCCUGAUCCAGCAAUGCCGCGUGUGUGAAGAAGGCCUUCGGGUUGUAAAGCACUUUUGUCCGGAAAGAAAUCGCGCUGGUUAAUACCUGGCGUGGAUGACGGUACCGGAAGAAUAAGCACCGGCUAACUACGUG